UUAGCCGAUGAAUAUAAUGACUGUAGUCGGAGAAUAAGCCCCGGCUAACUUCGUGCCAGCAGCCGCGGUAAUACGAAGGGGGCGAGCGUUAUUCGGAAUCACUGGGCGUAAAGCGUGCGUAGGCUGCCUAGAAAGUUGGGAGUGAAAGCCCAGGGCUCAACCCUGGAAUUGCUCUCAAAACUACUAGGCUCGGAUUCGGGAGAGGAUAGCGGAAUUGUCAGUGUAGCAGUGAAAUGCGUAGAUAUUGACAGGAACACCAGUGGCGCAAGCGGCUAUCUGGACCGACAUCGACGCUGAGGCACGAAAGCGUGGGGAUCAAACAGGAUUAGAUACCCUGGUAGUCCACGCCGUAAACGAUGUGUGCUUGUCGCCGGGGGGUUCACCCUUCGGUGACGCAGCUAACGCGUUAAGCACACCGCCUGGGAAGUACGGCCGCAAGGUUAAAACUCAAAGGAAUUGACGGGGACCCGCACAAGCGGUGGAGUAUGUGGUUUAAUUCGUCGCAACGCGAAGAACCUUACCAGGCCUUGACAUGCCCUCUAUGAUGCUCAGAGACGAGCGUCUUCACUUCGGGUGGGAGGGACACAGGUGCUGCAUGGCUGUCGUCAGCUCGUGUCGUGAGAUGUUGGGUUAAGUCCCGCAACGAGCGCAACCCCUUUUAUCAGUUGCCAACACGUAAUGGUGGGAACUCUGAUGAUACUGCCGGUGAUAAGCCGGAGGAAGGCGGGGAUGACGUCAAGUCCUCAUGGCCCUUACGGCCUGGGCUACACACGUACUACAAUGGUGGUGACAAUGGGCAGCUAGGUAGCGAUACCAUGCAAAUCCCUAAAAGCCACCUCAGUUCAGAUUGCACUCUGCAACUCGAGUGCAUGAAG
Molecule: ribosomal RNA, 875 nt
Filed under: uncultured bacterium
Lineage: Bacteria
Description: bacterial SSU rRNA
Rfam family: Bacterial small subunit ribosomal RNA
Source: RNAcentral